GGCCUGGUGGUGUAAGGGUUAACACGUGUGAACUGCCCACGUCAGUUUAGCACUCCUUCACGAGUUUUCUGUUCGAUUCGGAGUCUGGCCA
This is a non-coding RNA of Mycena metata, 91 nucleotides long. Lineage: Eukaryota; Fungi; Basidiomycota; Agaricomycetes; Agaricales; Mycenaceae. The record is from the annotation of a GenBank genome assembly.